This 45-nucleotide non-coding RNA is filed under the name Schistosoma margrebowiei. The record is from RNAcentral. Lineage: Eukaryota; Metazoa; Platyhelminthes; Trematoda; Strigeidida; Schistosomatidae.
AUCCAUCUGACGAGUCCGAAAUAGGACGAAAGAUUCAUCCUGGAU